Molecule: ribosomal RNA, 836 nt
Filed under: uncultured fungus
Lineage: Eukaryota; Fungi
Description: eukaryotic LSU rRNA
Rfam family: Eukaryotic large subunit ribosomal RNA
Source: RNAcentral
GAACUUAAGCAUAUCAAUAAGCGGAGGAAAAGAAACUAACAAGGAUUCCCCUAGUAACUGCGAGUGAAGCGGGAAGAGCUCAAAUUUAAAAUCUGGCAGCUGAUGGGCUUGUCCGAGUUGUAAUCUAGAGAAGUGUCUUCCGCGCUGGGACCGUGUACAAGUCUCUUGGAAUGGAGCAUCAUAGAGGGUGAGAAUCCCGUCUCUGACACGGAAUUUACCGGUGCUUUUGUGAUGCGCUCUCGAAGAGUCGAGUUGUUUGGGAAUGCAGCUCAAAAUGGGUGGUAAAUUCCAUCUAAAGCUAAAUACAGGCGAGAGACCGAUAGCGAACAAGUACCGUGAGGGAAAGAUGAAAAGGACUUUGAAAAGAGAGUUAAACAUUACGUGAAAUUGUUGAAAGGGAAACGAUUCAAGUCAGUCGCAUUAGCCAGUAAUCAACCCUCGCAAUUAACCUUGCUGGGCUUACUUUCUGGUUGAUGGGUCAGCAUCAAUUUUGACCGUCAGAGAAAGGCUUUGCGGGGAAUGUGACAUCUUCGGAUGUGUUAUAGCCCCUACUCGCAUGUGAUGGUCGGGAUUGAGGAACUCAGCACGCCUUUACAGGUCAGGGCCGCCGGAGUGGCCCAUGUAAACGUAGCUUAGGAUGCUGGCAUAAUGGCUUGAACCGACCCGUCUUGAAACACGGACCAAGGAGUCUAACAUGCCUGCGAGUGUUUGGGUGGAAAACCCGAGCGCGAAGUGAAAGUGAACUUGGUUGAGAUCCCUGUCGUGGGGAGCACCGACGCCCGGACCAGACCUUCUGUGACGGAUCUGCGGUAGAGCAUGCAUGUUGGGACCCGAAA